RNAcentral lists this ribosomal RNA (375 nucleotides) under uncultured bacterium. RNAcentral's name for it is "bacterial SSU rRNA". It matches the Rfam family "Bacterial small subunit ribosomal RNA", at positions 524 to 898 of the family's 1533-position model. The record is from RNAcentral.
UACGUAGGUGGCAAGCGUUGUCCGGAAUUAUUGGGCGUAAAGCGCGCGCAGGCGGAUCUGCCAGUCUGUCUUAAAAGUUCGGGGCUUAACCCCGUGAUGGGAUGGAAACUACAGAUCUAGAGUAUCGGAGAGGAAAGUGGAAUUCCUAGUGUAGCGGUGAAAUGCGUAGAUAUUAGGAAGAACACCAGUGGCGAAGGCGACUUUCUGGACGAAAACUGACGCUGAGGCGCGAAAGCCAGGGGAGCGAACGGGAUUAGAUACCCCGGUAGUCCUGGCCGUAAACGAUGGGUACUAGGUGUAGGAGGUAUCGACCCCUUCUGUGCCGUAGUUAACGCAAUAAGUACCCCGCCUGGGGAGUACGACCGCAAGGUUGAA